CCUACGGGUGGCAGCAGUGGGGAAUAUUGGGCAAUGGACGCAAGUCUGACCCAGCAACGCCGCGUGAGGGAAGAAGGCUUUCGGGUUGUAAACUUCUUUUAAGGGGGAAGCGCAGAAGACGGUACCCCUUGAAUAAGCCACGGCUAACUACGUGCCAGCAGCCGCGGUAAUACGGAGGGGGCAAGCGUUGUCCGGAUUUACUGGGGGUAAAGGGCGUGCAGCCGGAGAGACAAGUCAGAUGUGAAAUCCACGGGCUCAACCCGGGAACUGCAGUUGAAACUGUUUCUCUUGAGUGUGGGAGAGGUAUGCGGAAUUCCUGGUGUAGCGGUGAAAUGCGUAGAUAUAAGGAAGAACACCAGUUGCGAAGGCGGAUUACUGGACGAUAACUGACGGUGAGGCGCGAAAGCGUGGGGAGCAAACAGGAUUAGAUACCCGAGUAGUC
This 442-nucleotide ribosomal RNA is filed under the name uncultured bacterium. Its description in RNAcentral is "partial 16S ribosomal RNA". It matches the Rfam family "Bacterial small subunit ribosomal RNA", at positions 338 to 795 of the family's 1533-position model. The record is from RNAcentral.